GAUGAACGCUGGCUACAGGCUUAACACAUGCAAGUCGAGGGGAAACGACGGGGAAGCUUGCUUCCCCGGGCGUCGACCGGCGCACGGGUGAGUAACGCGUAUCCAACCUGCCUCUGACUGAGGUAUAACCCGUCGAAAGUCGGCCUAAUACCGCAUGGCAUCUGCUUCGGGCAUCCAACGACGAUUAAACAUUUCAUCGGUCAGAGAUGGGGAUGCGUCUGAUUAGCUUGUUGGCGGGGUAACGGCCCACCAAGGCGACGAUCAGUAGGGGUUCUGAGAGGAAGGUCCCCCACAUUGGAACUGAGACACGGUCCAAACUCCUACGGGAGGCAGCAGUGAGGAAGAUUGAUCAAUGGGAGAGAGCCUGAACCAGCCAAGUCGCGUGCAGGAUGACGGCCCUAUGGGUUGUAAACUGCUUUUAUGCGGGGAUAAAGUGAGGGACGUGUCCUUCAUUGCAGGUACCGCAUGAAUAAGGACCGGCUAAUUCCGUG
RNAcentral lists this ribosomal RNA (491 nucleotides) under uncultured bacterium. RNAcentral describes it as "partial 16S ribosomal RNA". It matches the Rfam family "Bacterial small subunit ribosomal RNA", at positions 28 to 507 of the family's 1533-position model. The record is from RNAcentral.